This 468-nucleotide ribosomal RNA is filed under the name uncultured bacterium. RNAcentral describes it as "partial 16S ribosomal RNA". It matches the Rfam family "Bacterial small subunit ribosomal RNA", at positions 28 to 507 of the family's 1533-position model. The record is from RNAcentral.
GACGAACGCUGGCGGCGUGCUUAACACAUGCAAGUCGAACGGAAAGGCCCUGCUUUUGUGGGGUGCUCGAGUGGCGAACGGGUGAGUAACACGUGAGUAACCUGCCCUUGACUUUGGGAUAACUUCAGGAAACUGGGGCUAAUACCGGAUAGGAUCUCCUGCUGCAUGGUGGGGGUUGGAAAGUUUCGGCGGUUGGGGAUGGACUCGCGGCUUAUCAGCUUGUUGGUGGGGUAGUGGCUUACCAAGGCUUUGACGGGUAGCCGGCCUGAGAGGGUGACCGGCCACAUUGGGACUGAGAUACGGCCCAGACUGCAACGGGAGGCAGCAGGGGGGAAUAUUGCACAAGGGGCGGAAGCCUGAUGCAGCAACGCCGCGUGCGGGAUGACGGCCUUCGGGUUGUAAACCGCUUUCGCCUGUGACGAAGAGUGAGUGACGGUAAUGGGUAAAGAAGCACCGGCUAACUACGUG